UUCAGUGUGGGAUGACCCCCCACCCAAGUAACUUGCCUCUAAUGAACAGAAUAAGGCAAAAGAGAUGAGAUGUUAUUUCCAUGAUUAGAUUACAAAAGAAUGACUUCUAUCUUGCUGUGUUCUUUCUAUUGCCGUCUUGGCUUGCAAACCUUGAUGAAGUAAGCAAACUACCAUGCUGGAAAGGCCAUGUGCCAAGGAACUGAAGACUGCCUUCAGUCAACAGCAAGUAAGAAACUGAGGCUUGUAUUCCAACAACCAGCGAGGAACUGAUCCUGCCAAGAACAAUAUGCUAUUGCCUUCUUAGCUUAUGUGCUUUAAUGAAGCUAGCUGCCAUAUUGGAGAAACAAACAUGACAAUGAACUAAGAGUAGACUCCAUCUAAUAGCCAGCUAGAAACCAAGGUCCACAUUUCAGUGACUCUCAAGCAAGUGAAUUCUUCCCACAACUGCAUGAAUUUGGAAGCACAUCUUUUCCCAGUUGAGCCUUCACAUGAGACCUAAUCCUGGAUUUUCGUGAAGCACACCCAAGUAUCAACAGCCAAACUGAUCAAGUGGAAGAAAGGGUAUCAGAGAUUGAAGAUCAACUUAAUGAAAUAAAGAUUGAAGACAAGAUUAGAGAAAAAAGAAUGAAAAGGAAUGAACAAAGCUUCCAAGAAAUAUACAACUAUAUUAAAAGACCAAAACUAUGUUUGAUUGGCAUAUCUGAAAGUGAUGGGGAGAAUGGAACCAAGUUGGAAAACACUCUUCAGGAUAUUAUCCAGGAGAACUUCCCCAACCUAGCAAGAUAGGCCAACAUUCAAAUUCAGGAAAUACAGAAACCACAGAGAUGCUCCUCAAGAAGUGCAACCCUAAGACACAUAAUUGUCAGAUUCACCAAGGUUGAAAUGAAGGAAAAAAUGUUAAGGGCAGCCAGACAGAAAGGUCAGGUUACCCACAAAGGAAAGCCCAUCAGACUAACGGCAGAACUCUCUGCAGGCCAGAAGACAGUGGGGGUGAAUAGUCAACAUUCUUAAAGAAAAUAAUUUUCAACCCAGAAUUUCAUAUCCAGCCAAACUACGUUUCAUAAGCCAAGGAGAAAUAAAAUCCUUUACAGACAAGCAAAUGAUGAGAGAUUUUAUUACCAUCAGCCAUGCCUUACAAGAGCUGCUGAAUGAAGCAGUAAAUAUGGAAAGGAAAACCCAGUAUCAGCCACUGCAAAAAACACGUCAAAUUGUAGAGACCAUCAAGACUAUAAAGAAACUGCAUCAACUAAUGGGCAAAAUAACCAGCUAGCAUCAUAAUGACAGGAUCAAAUUCACACAUAACAAAUAAUAACCUUAAAUGUAAAUGGGCUAAAUGCCCCAAUUAAAAGAUACAGACUGGCAAAUUGGAUAAAGAGUCAAGAUCUCUCAGUGUGCUGUAUACAGGAGACCCAUCUCAAGUGCAAAGAAACACAUAGGCUCAAAAUAAAGGGAUGGAGGAAGAUCUACCAAGCCAAACAAAAGGAAAGCCAAACAAAAAAACAGAGGUUGCAAUCCUAGUCUCUGAUAAAACAGACUUUAAACCAACAAAGAUCAAAAAAGACAAAGAAGGGCAUUACAUAAUGUUAAAGGGAUCAACACAACAAGAAGAGCUAACUAUCCUAAAUAUAUAAGCACCCAAUACAGGAGCACCCAGAUUCAUAAAGCAAGUUCUUAGAGACCUACAAAGAGACUUAGACUCCCACACAAUAAUAGUGUGAGGCUUUAACAUCCGAUUGUCAAUAUUAGACAGAUCAAUGAGACAGAAAAUUAAGAAGAAUAUUCAGGACUUGAACUCAGCUCUGGACCAAGUGGACCUAUAGACAUCUACAGAACUCUCCACCCCAAACCAACAGAAUAUACUUUCUUCUCAGCACCACAUUGCACUGAUUCUAAAAUUGAUCACAUAAUUGGAAGUAAAACACUCUUCAGCAAAUGCAAAAGAAUGGAAAUCAUAACAAACAGUCUCUCAGACCACAGUGCAAUCAAAUUAGAACUCAGGAUUAAGAAACUCACUCAAAACCACACAAGUCAUGGAAACUUAACAACCUGCUCCUGAAUGAAUACUGGGUAAAUAACGAAAUUAAGGCAGAAAUAAAUAAGUUCUUCGAAACCAGUGAGAACAAAGACACAAUGUACCAGAAUAUCUGGGACACAGCUAAAGCAGUGUUUAGAGGGAAAAUUAUAGCACUAUAUGCCCACAAGAGAAAGCAGGAAGAUCUAAAAUCAACACCCUAACAUCACAAAUAUAAGAACUAGAGAAGCAAGAGCAAACAAAUUCAAAAGCUAGCAGACAAGAAAUAAGUAAGAUAAGAGCAGAACCAAAAGAGAUUGAGACAUGAAAAACACUUCCAAAAAAUCACUGAAUCCAGGAGCUGUUUUUUUGAAAAGAUUAACAAAAUAGAUAGAUUGCUAGCCAGACUAAUGAAGAAAGGAGACAAGAAUCAGAUAGACACAAUAAAAAAUGAUAAAGGGGGUAUCACCACUGAUCCCACAGAAAUACAAACUACCAGCAGAGAAUACUAUAAACCCUCUAUGCAAAUAAGCUAGAAAAUCUAGAAGAAAUGGAUAAAUUCCUGGACACAUACACCCUGCCAAGACUAAACAAGGAAGAAGUCAAAUCCCUGAAUUGACCAAUAACAAGUUCUGAAAUUGAGGCAGUAAUGAAUAGCCUACCAAAGAAAAAAAGCACAGGACCAGACAGAUUCACAGCCGAAUUCUACCACAGGUACAAAGAGG
RNAcentral lists this long non-coding RNA (2736 nucleotides) under Homo sapiens (human). RNAcentral describes it as "HSALNT0125175". The record is from RNAcentral. Lineage: Eukaryota; Metazoa; Chordata; Mammalia; Primates; Hominidae.